UCGAAUGUGUUGUUACUUAUUACUACUUUUCUCCAAUCAAAGGUCGCGGGUUCGAGUGCCUUAAGUUGUGCUACCUUAAUUACCUGGGCCUUAACUGACACCGGCCUAAUUAACACCAAUGGUCUAGGGUGCCACUCCCACUAAUGGUCAUGGGUUCGAGUGCCAUAACUAACGCUAUGGUAAUUAGGUGCACUUUAAUUAACUUCGCCUUAACACCAAAGUUCGUUAGUUCGACUUCCACAUCAGCUCGAGAGUUCGACUCUCACUGAAAGUCUUGUGUUCGAGUGCCUGAAAGAAUUGUAUUUUAAUUAACUUUGCCCUUUUUUGUAUGAUGAGCGCCAUUGGAGCCAGCUGAGGAAGAGGACGACGACAAACACACGAGCAGUGGCACGAGCGCGUGUGUGCGCGAGGCGAGCUCACAUGACUUUCCGCACCGCAAGCCAUGUUUUCCAAAUUAUCGGGGUAAUGUCCAGCUUUUGAAGUAAUCCAGCUCAAGGACAAGAAAUAUGCAGUCUGUCAGACGCUAUGUUUAAAAUUUCGGAAUGCCUAAAAAUGAUCACCCCAUUUAAGGCGCUGCUUGGCAACCACGAACUUCCAUCAACUCGCUCAAGUUGUCCUACUAUUACAAAUGCCGGAUCUCCGGCUAGCACAUCUGGACACAUACAAGGGCCUUCAGUAAAGGUUCCACAGCGGAACUACAGUAGGACAGCCAUGGUCGCCAAACAGGGCAGCUACGCGUGGAUGUGCCUAUAUUGAUAGACAGACCCGAAUUUCGCACACCUCUCUUGAAAGCGCUUUUAACCGUAGGUAUUAACAGUUUCUGAACAAUUCCUUGCUUAUCGUAGUCUAGAGUCUCUCAAACACAGACAAUAAUGCGUAACUGACAUGUACUUCUGUUGUGAUUGUAACAGAAACUUUAUUUUGAGGGUUGAUAAGCAAUUUUAUUUUUAUUUACAUUACAGAUUCUAGAGCUUCGUCAAGGAAUGUGAACUUCUGCUGGCGUAUCUUACAAAUGUUCGUUUCUAAAUGGCUGAAGAGGGAAGAAUAGCCCUAAGAGCACUGCUAUAUGUGGCCAGUGAAUUGAACCGACACUGUUGUGACUCCAGACGAAAGGGAGCCUCGGAAGUUGUUCCCAACAAUUGACCUGCUGACGAUCUUUUUUUCAAAUUUUCCCUACCAGGAGCGCCUUCUCCGAGCUCCAACAAGAAUGAAACGCUACGCUCCAUAGAGGAUCCAGACUCGAGCAUUGCGGUAUUCUGCAACCAUGAUCACGUGGAUAAGGUGUUCAUAUGCUACAUACCGUGAUUCCUUCCAGCGCGCACAUCGAACGAGCUUUGAGUAUUGCUACGGAUGUCUUCAGAAGAAACAGACGGAUGUCAGCGAUAAAUAUUUCGAUGAACAAAUUGUAAGUGAAGUUAAACAACCUGUGAAGAACUGAAAUGACGCACAGAGAAGCCAGGCCAGCUCGUUUUGUUCAUAUACUGUAUUCGUGGAAUUUGAAUGCAAUUGCUGGAGGGAGAGUAAAGUAAAAUAAAGGGAUAAUUUUUUAAUAAUUGCGCACUUGCUUUUGUGGCGCAGCAAUUGGAAGCUGAAAUAAAUUACA
Molecule: non-coding RNA, 1603 nt
Organism: Dermacentor andersoni
Lineage: Eukaryota; Metazoa; Arthropoda; Arachnida; Ixodida; Ixodidae
Source: RefSeq, a predicted model, not a curated record